UACGUAGGGGGCAAGCGUUGUCCGGAAUCAUUGGGCGUAAAGCGCGUGUAGGCGGCCCGAUAAGUCCGCUGUAAAAGUCCAGGGCUCAACCCUGGAAAGCCGGUGGAUACUGUCGGGCUAGAGUGCGGAAGAGGCGAGUGGAAUUCCUGGUGUAGCGGUGAAAUGCGCAGAUAUCAGGAGGAACACCGGUGGCGAAGGCGGGACUCUGGGCCGAUACUGACGCUGAGGAGCGAAAGCGUGGGGAGCAAACAGG
Molecule: ribosomal RNA, 253 nt
Filed under: uncultured bacterium
Lineage: Bacteria
Description: partial 16S ribosomal RNA
Rfam family: Bacterial small subunit ribosomal RNA
Source: RNAcentral